UCCAAUCUCCUAUAUAAAAAGCCAACAUAGAAACAUAACAUAAAGUCGUUGCUUAUUAGGUUUCAAAACAGCAAAUACAAAUUGCAAAUAAAUGAAAUAACACCAUUGAUACAUCCAAUUAAAGUAAUAUUUCAACAACUAUUCAAUAUAUAUACAACACAUUUUGAUGAAAACUAUGGUAAAAAACAUAUAUGUUGCAAACAAUUGAAGGCUUGAAGCUCUGUUGUUACCAUGUCGUUCUUGAAACCAGACACCGCUACACGAGCACAACUGCACAUCAAGUUCAAAACACAUCAAAUAGAAGAUAUUGAUGUGGAUGUACAUGUCCUUGUUUUGCUUUGUUUUUAUCUUUACUAUAGUUGAAUAUGUCAAGUAAGCGUUUCUAUUUAGCCAUUUAGGGAACUACCUUAUUAGUCACCAUUUCAAAUAGUUAGCAUAAAUCCCUAACAUUUGGAAAAAAAGUAAAGUAAUUACUUUCGGGGCGUCAUAUUAUCGGAAACCAUACAUUCUUUCAUCAUCUAUUUAUACUCAAAAAGAGGAUGCUGUUGACAAAGUUGUGCUAUUCUUCAUACAGCAUGAGAUGUAGCAUUUGAAAUUUUGAAUGGUGCACCCUGUGUACCAAUUUAUUUUCCAUGAUUCUAUCAAUAGAUAUUUUUGCUCAAGGAUCUAUGCAUAUAACCAAUAAAUCAACGGUCUAUCUUUUGACAUUUAUUUAAUCAAAGCAUACACAAUUUUCCUCUUUUUUAAUCCAUAAACACACAAUUAACUUGUUUAUCAUCAAAAAACUAACAGGGUAUCACAGAACAAAAUCAUACAAAACAUCAUAAUCUGCAACUUGGUAUGACAAGUAAAUUGACCAGAUUGGCAGAUUCAUCACCACAACCUCAUAAACUAGUAUAACAGUUCAAAUCUGAUUAAUUGCAUUAUAUACAACUUUUCUCAUUUUUACCAAUUUAUACAACAAAGUGAUCAUCUACACAAAUAUGCAAAGCUUUAAACAUUUUCCCUAUAACCUGUUUAACCGGUCACUGUGUUAUUUUUUUGUCACUUAAAUCCUUCGGCAGUCACAUGUCACCUUGAUUUCUCCCACCAAGAUUUAAGAGCACCAACCUACGGGAAUGUGAAAUUACCAUUGAUGAUACAGAAAAAUCCCAGCAUAAGGACCAUUCAAAACAUACCCAUGAAUCAAAAUGUUCCAAAGAACGACAAUUCAUUCAGAAAUUCCAUCAAACAGUAGGUGGGCAUUGGACAAAUCGAUGCAUUGUCAGUACAAAUCAGCAUGUUCAGUACCUAAGUUAGUGUCGUAUCCUAAAACAAUUAAGCAAAGAUGUUCAUGAAGCUGUCUAUCUGGUUGAAACCCCUUCAAGCAAUGAACUAAAAAACUUAAGUUGCAAAAGUGAAUCAUACAUUAGCACAUAAGCGAACACACACACACACACAUAUUUAGCUUGAUAAAACAAUACCUUGCGCACAGGUAGAUAAACAAAGAAUCUGAAAUUGGAACUCGGACUCACAUAUCGGCGAAGACGACGAUGGGGGUAAAAAAAAUUGGACCAUUUCAGCGAAUAAACGAACAGAGAUAGAUUUACCAACCUUUGGAAGAACAAUUGCUGUUAGAUGCCUCCUCAAAAUCCACAACAGGGAGGUGAUGAAACAACAUAAGGAACAAAAAAGAAAAACAGGGAGGUGAUGAAACAACAUAAGGAACAAAAAAGAAAAACUUUACUGUGUAAGAAAUUUCUCAGGCGUUCCGACUGGAAUUAGGGUUUCGGCGAAGACGAUGAAGGGGGUAAAAAAAUUUGGACCAUUUCUCGAUUUGUGCGUGUCAUCCUUGCGCAGGGGCCAUGCUAAUCUUCUCUGUAUCGUUCCAAUUUUAUCGGAUGUCCCCGAAGGGACGAUAAUGCUUGCAGAGCUUCACAAUAUAAACGAUUCCCAGGCUCUUGUCCCUGUCGAUAUGGUACGACGCGAGUUCAAAGCCAACUAGUUUACUAUUCAUAGUUCUG
Molecule: long non-coding RNA, 2003 nt
Filed under: Lactuca sativa (garden lettuce)
Lineage: Eukaryota; Viridiplantae; Streptophyta; Magnoliopsida; Asterales; Asteraceae
Description: long non-coding RNA (LSAT_LNC006104)
Source: RNAcentral